GACGAACGCUGGCGGCGUGCUUAACACAUGCAAGUCGAACGAAGUGGCGAACGGGUGAGUAACGCGUAAUCAACCUGCCCUUCAUAGGGGGACAACAGUUGGAAACGACUGCUAAUACCGCAUACUGAAGGAGGGGAUUGCGUGUGAUUUGCUAGUUGGAGGGGUAACGGCCCACCAAGGCGAUGAUCAGUAGCCGGUGUGGUAGGGUGAGCGGGCACAUUGGGACUGAGACACGGCCCAGACUCCUACGGGAGGCAGCAGUGGGGGAUAGUCCGAAAUGGAAGAAAGACUGACGGAGAAACGCCGAGGGAGUGAUGACGGCCUUCGGGUUGUAAAGCGCUUUUAAUCGGGACGAGGUACCGGAAUAGAAAGCCACGGCUAACUACGUGCCAGCAGCCGCGGUAAUUC
RNAcentral lists this ribosomal RNA (408 nucleotides) under uncultured bacterium. RNAcentral's name for it is "partial 16S ribosomal RNA". It matches the Rfam family "Bacterial small subunit ribosomal RNA", at positions 28 to 526 of the family's 1533-position model. The record is from RNAcentral.